RNAcentral lists this ribosomal RNA (513 nucleotides) under uncultured bacterium. RNAcentral describes it as "partial 16S ribosomal RNA". It matches the Rfam family "Bacterial small subunit ribosomal RNA", at positions 28 to 523 of the family's 1533-position model. The record is from RNAcentral.
GAUGAACGCUGGCGGCGUGCCUAAUACAUGCAAGUCGAGCGAACAGAUAAGGAGCUUGCUCCUUUGACGUUAGCGGCGGACGGGUGAGUAACACGUGGGUAACCUACCUAUAAGACUGGAAUAACUUCGGGAAACCGAAGCUAAUGCCGGAUAAUAUGUAGAACCGCAUGGUUCUACAGUGAAAGAUGGCCUUGCUAUCACUUAUAGAUGGACCCGCGCCGUAUUAGCUAGUUGGUAAGGUAACGGCUUACCAAGGCAACGAUACGUAGCCGACCUGAGAGGGUGAUCGGCCACACUGGAACUGAGACACGGUCCAGACUCCUACGGGAGGCAGCAGUAGGGAAUCUUCCGCAAUGGGCGAAAGCCUGACGGAGCAACGCCGCGUGAGUGAUGAAGGUCUUCGGAUCGUAAAGCUCUGUUAUUAGGGAAGAACAAGUGCGUAAGUAACUGUGCGCACCUUGACGGUACCUAAUCAGAAAGCCGCGGCUAACUACGUGCCAGCCGCCGCGGUAA